UACAGGGGGGGCAAGCGUUGUUCGGAAUUACUGGGCGUAAAGGGUCUGUAGGUGGCCAACUAAGUCAGACGUGAAAUCCCUCAGCUUAACUGGGGAACUGCGUCUGAUACUGGAUGGCUUGAGUGUGGGAGAGGAAUGCGGAAUUCCAGGUGUAGCGGUGAAAUGCGUAGAUAUUCGCAAGAACACCAGUGGCGAAGGCGGCUCACUGGCCCGGUACUGACGCUGAGGUGCGAAAGCGUGGGGAGCAAACAGG
Molecule: ribosomal RNA, 253 nt
Filed under: uncultured bacterium
Lineage: Bacteria
Description: partial 16S ribosomal RNA
Rfam family: Bacterial small subunit ribosomal RNA
Source: RNAcentral